GUCCACGCCCUAACGAUGCCAACUAGGUGUUGGGGAAGGAGACUUCCUUAGUACCGUAGCUAACGCGUGAAGUUGGCCGCCUGGGGAGUACGGUCGCAAGAUUAAACUCAAAGGAAUUGACGGGGACCCGCACAAGCGGUGGAUGAUGUGGAUUAAUUCGAUGCAACGCGAAAACCUUACCUACCCUUGACAUGCCAGGAACUUGCCAGAGAUGGCUUGGUGCUCGAAAGAGAACCUGGACACAGGUGCUGCAUGGCUGUCGU
RNAcentral lists this ribosomal RNA (263 nucleotides) under uncultured bacterium. RNAcentral's name for it is "partial 16S ribosomal RNA". It matches the Rfam family "Bacterial small subunit ribosomal RNA", at positions 793 to 1055 of the family's 1533-position model. The record is from RNAcentral.